GCUUGUCAUCUUUAGGGUUCUCCAGGUGUGCACGUAUUGGGGGACCCUGGAGGGCCAUCUGUUCUGGAUGCGUUCCGAGUGGGGACUGCGGGGCUAGGAUGUCGGCUUUCCCUUGAAUCAUUUCCAGGGCCUAUGUCAUUUCAACCUCUCAAACAGGGUUAAAAUGUUGAAUCGGGUCUUUUUGUAGCUAUAAAGUUAUGAAUACAACUUUCAGCAAGGGAUCUCUUGGCUCUCCCAUCGAUGAAAAACGCACCGAAAUGCGGGGAGUGGUGUGAAUUGCGGAAUUCAGUGAAUCAUCGAAUCUUUGAACGCAUCUGGCGCUCCUUGGUAUUCCGAGGAGCAUGCCGGUUUGAGUGUCAUUUAAAUUCUCAACCACGGCUUGGUGUGGCUUUGGGGGUGGGGGUUUUUUGCGGGCUUUCCAUUCAAGUCGGCUCCCCUGAAAGGUGUUAGUGGUAUCUGGAGCAGAAAGGGCUAGGUGUGAUAGUAUCAUCUAUGCCUGUGGUAUGCUGCAUGAGCAGAUUGUGCUGCUUCUAACACACAUUUUGAUUUUGACAAACUUGACCUCGAAUCAGGUAGGACUACCCGCUGAGCUUAAGCAUGAUC
This 603-nucleotide ribosomal RNA is filed under the name Inocybe sp. DL-2015. Its description in RNAcentral is "eukaryotic LSU rRNA". The stretch from base 206 to 359 matches the Rfam family "5.8S ribosomal RNA". Lineage: Eukaryota; Fungi; Basidiomycota; Agaricomycetes; Agaricales; Inocybaceae. The record is from RNAcentral.